This 504-nucleotide ribosomal RNA is filed under the name uncultured bacterium. Its description in RNAcentral is "partial 16S ribosomal RNA". It matches the Rfam family "Bacterial small subunit ribosomal RNA", at positions 28 to 523 of the family's 1533-position model. The record is from RNAcentral.
GAUGAACGCUAGCGGCAGGCCUAAUACAUGCAAGUCGAACGGGAUCUGAGGGUAGCUUGCUACCCGAUUUGAGAGUGGCGCACGGGUGCGUAACGCGUGAGCAACCUACCCAUAUCAGGGGGAUAGCCCGGAGAAAUUCGGAUUAACACCGCAUAAGCAUGUAUUAACACAUGUUAAAGCAUUUAAAUAUUUAUAGGAUAUGGAUGGGCUCGCGUGACAUUAGCUAGUUGGUGAGGUAACGGCUCACCAAGGCGACGAUGUCUAGGGGCUCUGAGAGGAGAAUCCCCCACACUGGUACUGAGACACGGACCAGACUCCUACGGGAGGCAGCAGUAAGGAAUAUUGGUCAAUGGGCGGAAGUCUGAACCAGCCAUGCCGCGUGCAGGAUGACUGCCCUAUGGGUUGUAAACUGCUUUUGUCGAGGAAUAAACCUAUCUACGUGUAGCUAGUUGAACGUACUCGAAGAAUAAGGAUCGGCUAACUCCGUGCCAGCCGCCGCCGUAA